Molecule: ribosomal RNA, 252 nt
Filed under: uncultured Bacteroidales bacterium
Lineage: Bacteria; Pseudomonadati; Bacteroidota; Bacteroidia; Bacteroidales
Description: partial 16S ribosomal RNA
Rfam family: Bacterial small subunit ribosomal RNA
Source: RNAcentral
UACGUAGGGGGCAAGCGUUAUCCGGAUUUACUGGGUGUAAAGGGAGCGUAGGCGGGCUUUUAAGUCAGCGGUAAAAAUUCGGGGCUCAACCCCGUCCGGCCGUUGAAACUGGGGGCCUUGAGUGGGCGAGAAGUAUGCGGAAUGCGUGGUGUAGCGGUGAAAUGCAUAGAUAUCACGCAGAACCCCGAUUGCGAAGGCAGCAUACCGGCGCCCGACUGACGCUGAAGCACGAAAGCGUGGGUAUCGAACAGG